UACGAAGGGGGCUAGCGUUGCUCGGAAUCACUGGGCGUAAAGGGCGCGUAGGCGGAUCUUUAAGUCGGGGGUGAAAGCCCAGGGCUCAACCCUGGAAUUGCCUUCGAUACUGAGGAUCUCGAGACCGGAAGAGGUAAGUGGAACUGCGAGUGUAGAGGUGAAAUUCGUAGAUAUUCGCAAGAACACCAGUGGCGAAGGCGGCUUACUGGUCCGGCUCUGACGCUGAGGCGCGAAAGCGUGGGGAGCAAACAGG
Molecule: ribosomal RNA, 253 nt
Filed under: uncultured bacterium
Lineage: Bacteria
Description: partial 16S ribosomal RNA
Rfam family: Bacterial small subunit ribosomal RNA
Source: RNAcentral